This 429-nucleotide ribosomal RNA is filed under the name Acidobacteriota bacterium. RNAcentral describes it as "Acidobacteria bacterium partial 16S ribosomal RNA". It matches the Rfam family "Bacterial small subunit ribosomal RNA", at positions 355 to 776 of the family's 1533-position model. Lineage: Bacteria; Pseudomonadati; Acidobacteriota. The record is from RNAcentral.
UGGGGAAUUUUGGACAAUGGGGGAAACCCUGAUCCAGCCAUCCCGCGUGUGCGAUGAAGGCCCUCGGGUUGUAAAGCACUUUUGGCAGGAAAGAAACGUCAUGGGUUAAUACCCCGUGAAACUGACGGUACCUGCAGAAUAAGCACCGGCUAACUACGUGCCAGCAGCCGCGGUAAUUCGUAGGGUGCAAGCGUUAAUCGGAAUUACUGGGCGUAAAGCGUGCGCAGGCGGUUCGGAAAGAAAGAUGUGAAAUCCCAGAGCUCAACUGUGGAACUGCAUUUUUAACUACCGGGAUAGAGUGUGUCAGAGGGAGGUGGAAUUCCGCGUGUAGCAGUGAAAUGCGUAGAUAUGCGGAGGAACACCGAUGGCGAAGGCAGCCUCCUGGGAUAACACUGACGCUUAUGCACGAAAGCGUGGGGAGAAAACAGG